UACGUAGGGUGCGAGCGUUUAAUCGGAAUUACUGGGCGUAAAGCGCGCGUAGGCGGCUUUGUAAGUUAGAGGUGAAAGCCCGGGGCUCAACUCCGGAAUUGCCUUUAAGACUGCAUCGCUAGAAUUGUGGAGAGGUAAGUGGAAUUCCGAGUGUAGAGGUGAAAUUCGUAGAUAUUCGGAAGAACACCAGUGGCGAAGGCGACUUACUGGACACAUAUUGACGCUGAGGUGCGAAAGCGUGGGGAGCAAACAGG
Molecule: ribosomal RNA, 254 nt
Filed under: uncultured bacterium
Lineage: Bacteria
Description: partial 16S ribosomal RNA
Rfam family: Bacterial small subunit ribosomal RNA
Source: RNAcentral